This 568-nucleotide ribosomal RNA is filed under the name uncultured bacterium. RNAcentral's name for it is "bacterial SSU rRNA". It matches the Rfam family "Bacterial small subunit ribosomal RNA", at positions 275 to 835 of the family's 1533-position model. The record is from RNAcentral.
GACGAUCUGUAGCGGGUCUGAGAGGAUGAUCCGCCACACUGGGACUGAGACACGGCCCAGACUCCUACGGGAGGCAGCAGUGGGGAAUUUUGGACAAUGGGCGCAAGCCUGAUCCAGCCAUGCCGCGUGAGUGAAGAAGGCCUUCGGGUUGUAAAGCUCUUUCGGCCGGGAAGAAAUCGUGUUCUCUAACAUAGGGCAUGGAUGACGGUACCGGACUAAGAAGCACCGGCUAACUACGUGCCAGCAGCCGCGGUAAUACGUAGGGUGCGAGCGUUAAUCGGAAUUACUGGGCGUAAAGCGUGCGCAGGCGGUUUUGUAAGACAGAUGUGAAAUCCCCGGGCUUAACCUGGGAACUGCGUUUGUGACUGCAAGGCUAGAGUACGGCAGAGGGGGGUGGAAUUCCUGGUGUAGCAGUGAAAUGCGUAGAUAUCAGGAGGAACACCGAUGGCGAAGGCAGCCCCCUGGGCCUGUACUGACGCUCAUGCACCAAAGCGUGGGGAGCUAACAGGAUUAGAUACCCUGGUAGUCCACGCCCUAAACGAUGUCGACUAGUCGUUCGGAGCAGCAA